RNA transcript from Spinacia oleracea (spinach), 2627 nucleotides. RefSeq lists it as uncharacterized. The record is from RefSeq and is a predicted model, not a curated record. NCBI's taxonomy places the organism in Eukaryota, Viridiplantae, Streptophyta, Magnoliopsida, Caryophyllales, Amaranthaceae. The transcript is spliced from 4 exons.
AUUUUUUUUUUUAAAAAAAUGCCAAACUCCGUACUCCGUCUUCCCCAAUUUCUCUUUCAGAUUCUCAAAAUGAAAAAAGCCCCAAAUCUUCCAUUUACUUUCUCUCUCCCUAAGCUUCAAUUUAACUUCUCUUCUCCCUUUCUCUCCCCUUAAUCUCCAAUUUUAUUUCUCUCUCCCAAUCUUCAAGUUUGCUAACCCUAAUUUUACAUGUUUUGGUUGAAAUUUGAUGUAGUUCAUCUGAAAGUUAGUUGAGUUCGCUGAAAUUUGCUUGAGUUCGUCUGAGAUUUGGUUCAAUCGCACGUAUUUUCUCAUAUCUGAAGCUCCCCUGAAGUUCGCCUGGAACCCUAGCUACCAUGGACGAGGGGAAACAAUUUAUGUACAAUCAAGAACAAUUGGUAGUCCUGAGGGAAUUAGACCUACCAAUCGUAUUGGCUUGCUUUCAAGCAAUAUGGUUGAUACCAUAGAAUACUACAAUAAGAAGGUAAGUGAAAUUACUCUUAAGCUAGAAGCUGAGCAAAAAAUCACCUUAAGAGAUCGACAACUUGCUGUAGCACUCGUAUCCUUUUCGAAUAGGGUGGAUAUUGCUGCUGCUCAGAGUUUAUCUGAGAAGCAAGAAUUCAUUACAGUGAUGAAACAUCCACUCCAAGUCCAUAUUUCUCCAAGGAAAAAGUAAAUAAACAUCAUAGAAGUUUUCCUUGUUCGCAACUGUCUUUGUAUUCAAAUUUUAGCAUGUCCGUGGUAUAUAAAUAAGUCAUAUUACUUUCUAAGAGCAUAGUAUUUUUGCUGGCCUAGAUCGCUUCCCGCGCUUUGUUUUUACUGGAAACUGAUAUGCCUCUUAUUAUAUGCGGGACGAGGAGAUAACUAUUUUGCUAUUGGCCUUUUUGCUUUCAUCCUCUUGUUCAUGAAAACUUCUCCCCUGUCCUUCUAUUUUGUCUAUUUUGGUUUAUGCAUGCCUGUUUUCAGUUGGUUUAUUUUACUCCCUCCGUAUUUUUUUAAGAGAUACACUUGGCCGGGCACGGGUAUUAAGAAGAAUAAUUGAAUGGAAUAAAAUAAUAAAGCAAGUGGGGUUGGAUAGAUAUUUUAAUAAUUAAAUAUGUGGGGACCAUGUCAUUUUGGUGGGUGGAGAGUGGGGUGAGUUUAUGAAAAUAUUUGUUUAAUAGGAUAGUGGGUGAUAGGGUAUAUUAGAUGUAUUAUUUAAUUAGAUGGUGGGGUUGAUAAGUUACUAAAAAUGGCAAGUGUAUCUCUUAAAUAAAUACGGCCGGAAAAGGCAAGUGUAUCCCUUAAAAAAAUACGGAGGGAGUAUCAGUGUUGGGGCACUGAUUUGGUCAUGGUUUUAUGAGGGUUGGAUCUUGAACGGUUGUACCUUAACACCUACUAGAAGCUUCUGUUCAGGUAGAUGUGAAUCAAUAGGAACUGGUAUGCUGUUAUUAGAGUGAAUAUGACAUUGCUACGGUUCAUCGUAACUGUUGAAAUGUAGUUGCCUAAUGUUGGAAGAGGGGUGGGGGGAGAGUUGCAUGUCCAUUGCGAACUGUUUAAGGGUAAUUAAUUAAUUAUGAACAAAAAAAUGAUGAAAAAAAAAGUGUUGAAUGUGCUUUAGCUUUGUAAGAAUGUCACCUGUUUCUUUUACAAACUAUAGGUGCAUGUGCAUGUCGAACAGUAAAGAAAAUUUAUGGACAAAAAGCAGUGAUGAUGCCUUCAGCUUUUCUUAUGAGUGAUAUUGUUGCCUUUGACAAUAUAAAGGUGGUAUCUUCUUUAAGAAAGGAUAAAGGUGGAAGAAACGUCGUUAAUUUGUUAUGAAUGAUAUGCUCAUCUUGAUAGGGUUUCUUGUAAUUGACUUCUUAAGUAGUGUGUUAUGAUUAGUAUGCGUAAUCAUUGUUCAAAGACCCCCCACCGCUGCUCAUCUUUGCUGGAUUGGAAUUUCUAUGCAAAGUAAAACUCAUAAGUCUUUCUUUGACAUUCACUAGGUCGCAUCUGACAAUGGGAUCACUUCUGAUUCCACCUCAUCUAAUCAGGGUGUCCCCAAACGUCAAAGGGGAGACUGGUCAAGAGUCAGGUGCUGGGCAAGAUGUGUAUAAUCCACCUGCUAGCUAUUACAAUUAUUAUUAUCCAGGGGUUUUAUGUCAUUGAGAAUCACAAACGUUGGAUACUUUCAAAAGCUGCAAAGGGAUGGAAAGCUUUCAACACUAGAUUAGGACUUCAAUGGAUGUAUUUAGAUGAUGGAACAAUAAGUCAACAACCACCAUGGAAAUAUUCUUGGAUAGUUAAACCUGAUUGGGAUAAGUUCAUGGACUACUGCACUUAUGAAAAGUUCAAGUUUUCUCAAGAAACUUAAACAUCGAAAAAUGUUGAUGAGGUUAGAGACAUGUGGGUUGAGUAUUUGCUCAAGCAAGAAGCAGAUGAAGAAAAAAAGAUGAUGCUAUGGAAAUAACUCCAUGAGUUUCGGUUCCAAUUAUUGGUAAAUUGGUGUGAAUGAAUAGAUUUUAUAACAUUUUCUUUUACGUUUUUCGAAAUUAUGAUGUAAAGCUUUUACGUUUAUGGAAAUUACAAUUAAUGUAUCGAUUUUGCGUUUUGAGCAUUACUUAUGGAAAAUAUUUUUUUCGGUAAUAAUAUAUAUUAUUAUGGAAUUA